RNAcentral lists this ribosomal RNA (301 nucleotides) under uncultured bacterium. Its description in RNAcentral is "partial 16S ribosomal RNA". It matches the Rfam family "Bacterial small subunit ribosomal RNA", at positions 509 to 809 of the family's 1533-position model. The record is from RNAcentral.
CAGUCGCCGCGGUAAUACGGAGGGGGCUAGCGUUGUUCGGAAUUACUGGGCGUAAAGCGUACGUAGGCGGCUUUGUAAGUUAGAGGUGAAAGCCCGGGGCUCAACCCCGGAAUUGCCUUUAAGACUGCAUCGCUUGAAUCGCGGAGAGGUGAGUGGAAUUCCGAGUGUAGAGGUGAAAUUCGUAGAUAUUCGGAAGAACACCAGUGGCGAGGGCGGCUCACUGGACGCGUAUUGACGCUGAGGUACGAAAGCGUGGGGAGCAAACAGGAUUAGAGACCCGAGUAGUCCCUGUCUCUUAUAU